RNAcentral lists this ribosomal RNA (501 nucleotides) under uncultured bacterium. RNAcentral's name for it is "partial 16S ribosomal RNA". It matches the Rfam family "Bacterial small subunit ribosomal RNA", at positions 30 to 523 of the family's 1533-position model. The record is from RNAcentral.
AUUGAACGCUGGCGGCAUGCCUUACACAUGCAAGUCGAACGGCAGCACGGGUGCUUGCACCUGGUGGCGAGUGGCGAACGGGUGAGUAAUACAUCGGAACGUACCUUAUCGUGGGGGAUAACGCAGCGAAAGCUGUGCUAAUACCGCAUACGCCCUGAGGGGGAAAGCGGGGGAUCGAAAGACCUCGCGCGAUUAGAGCGGCCGAUGCCUGAUUAGCUUGUUGGUGGGGUAAAAGCCCACCAAGGCGACGAUCAGUAGCUGGUCUGAGAGGACGAUCAGCCACACUGGGACUAGGACACGGCCCAGACUCCUACGGGAGGCAGCAGUGGGGAAUUUUGGACAAUGGGGGCAACCCUGAUCCAGCAAUGCCGCGUGAGUGAAGAAGGCCUUCGGGUUGUAAAGCUCUUUUGUCAGGGAAGAAACACCGGCUCUAACACAGUCCGGGAAUGACGGUACCUGAAGAAUAAACACCGGCUAACUACGUGCCAGCAGCCGCCGUAA